RNAcentral lists this ribosomal RNA (301 nucleotides) under uncultured bacterium. RNAcentral's name for it is "partial 16S ribosomal RNA". It matches the Rfam family "Bacterial small subunit ribosomal RNA", at positions 509 to 810 of the family's 1533-position model. The record is from RNAcentral.
CAGCACCGCGGGAAUACGUAGGGUGCGAGCGUUAAUCGGAAUUACUGGGCGUAAAGCGUGCGCAGGCGGUGCUGCAAGACCGAUGUGAAAGCCCCGGGCUUAACCUGGGAACUGCAUUGGUGACUGCAGCGCUGGAGUAUGGCAGAGGGGGGUGGAAUUCCACGUGUAGCAGUGAAAUGCGUAGAGAUGUGGAGGAACACCGAUGGCGAAGGCAGCCCCCUGGGCCAAUACUGACGCUCAUGCACGAAAGCGUGGGGAGCAAACAGGAUUAGAUACCCGAGUAGUCCCUGUCUCUUAUCAC